Nymphaea colorata (pocket water lily) is the source of this 1040-nucleotide long non-coding RNA. RefSeq lists it as uncharacterized. NCBI's taxonomy places the organism in Eukaryota, Viridiplantae, Streptophyta, Magnoliopsida, Nymphaeales, Nymphaeaceae. The record is from RefSeq and is a predicted model, not a curated record. The transcript is spliced from 3 exons.
AGCGCGUCUUCGUCUUCCUCCUGCACCGUCGUCGUCUUCCUCUCCUCACGCCGAGCUUCCUCUUGCACAGCCUUCUCACACAGCGUCUAGCAGAGAAAGAAAAAGGAAGAACGAAGGGGAAAGAGGAAGAAGUGAAGAAAGGGGAAAGAGGAAGAACAAAGGGGAAAGAGCAUCGUCCGUCGCCCACCACCUCACGCCCAGCACCGUCGUCGUCUUCCUCUCCUCACGCCCAGCUUCGUCUUUCUCCCUCUCACUCGCCUCUCCCUCCUGCCGCAAGCCCGCAGCCCGCAGCUGCCUCUUUCGCCCUCUCACUCUCCUGCUCCCUCAUCCUCUCUCUCGUCCUCUGUUCUUGAUAUCUGGUUGAUGGGCAUCUGUUUUUCCCUUUGAUCGUGACUCUCCGUGAGUUAUUUUGAGUGUCUCGGAAGCUUUUGAUUUUGUUUGGUGCUCUUGAUUUUGUUUGGUGCUCUUUGCUCUGGAUUUCCUGAGAGUCGAUUCCGUGGGUUUCUUCCGUCUGUUCAAUCGGUUUCUUGUUCUAACUUGGUAAAAAGCGGUGUUCCUUAAUUUGCCUCUGCAAGACAACUUGUUUGGAAAAUCAACCUUGCUUUUUUCUUUCAUUCUUGUUCUGCAGGACCGAUACUGUUGGUCUGUCUUCUGGAGUUCUGAGUGAUGGUUGCUGGCUGAAGCCACCAUUUCUACUGCUGCCACCGUUUCUACUGCUGCUGUUGGUGAAUCGGAUGCGUGGAGUUUACUUGUGUUUAUCGUUCGGAUGGGUGGAUAAAAUUGUCAACCCCCAACAGCCUUCCUAUGAAAUUUGGUGCUUGCAAAUUUUGUGCAAUAUCAAAGGAACAACAGUUGAACAGGUCACAGUCUCAGAAGUCCAAAACGUCGAGUUCAGUGGCAGCAGCAAAAAUACGUGCAACAAGGGUACUUUUGCUUCUUGAAUACGGAUUAUGAGAUGCCUGUUAUUUGCGAUUCAACCAGAAUGGAAUGAAAAUUUGACGCUUUCAGUUUCUGAUCCCAUUUUGCUGGUCAAGAUUGUA